CCUACGGGAGGCAGCAGUGAGGAAUAUUGGUCAAUGGACGCGAGUCUGAACCAGCCAAGUAGCGUGAAGGAUGACGGCCCUAUGGGUUGUAAACUUCUUUUAUGUGGGAAUAAAACGUGCCACGUGUGGCAUUUUGCAGGUACCAUAUGAAUAAGGAUCGGCUAAUUCCGUGCCAGCAGCCGCGGUAAUACGGAGGGUCCGGGCGUUAUCCGGAUUUAUUGGGUUUAAAGGGAGCGUAGGCGGACUGUUAAGCGAGUUGUGAAAUGUGGCGGCUCAACCGUAGAAUUGCAGUGGAAACUGGGAGUCUUGAGUGCGGCAGAGGUGGGCGGAAUUCGUGGUGUAGCGGUGAAAUGCUUAGAUAUCACGAAGAACUCCGAUUGCGAAGGCAGCUUACCGGAGCGUAACUGACACUGAGGCUCGAAAGUGCGGGUAUCGAACAGGAUUAGAUACCCGGGUAGUC
Molecule: ribosomal RNA, 460 nt
Filed under: uncultured bacterium
Lineage: Bacteria
Description: partial 16S ribosomal RNA
Rfam family: Bacterial small subunit ribosomal RNA
Source: RNAcentral